This 429-nucleotide ribosomal RNA is filed under the name Pseudomonadota bacterium. Its description in RNAcentral is "Proteobacteria bacterium partial 16S ribosomal RNA". It matches the Rfam family "Bacterial small subunit ribosomal RNA", at positions 355 to 776 of the family's 1533-position model. The record is from RNAcentral. Lineage: Bacteria; Pseudomonadati; Pseudomonadota.
UGGGGAAUAUUGGACAAUGGGCGAAAGCCUGAUCCAGCCAUGCCGCGUGUGUGAAGAAGGUCUUCGGAUUGUAAAGCACUUUAAGUUGGGAGGAAGGGCAGUAAGCGAAUACCUUGCUGUUUUGACGUUACCGACAGAAUAAGCACCGGCUAACUCUGUGCCAGCAGCCGCGGUAAUACAGAGGGUGCAAGCGUUAAUCGGAAUUACUGGGCGUAAAGCGCGCGUAGGUGGUUCGUUAAGUUGAAUGUGAAAGCCCCGGGCUCAACCUGGGAACUGCAUCCAAAACUGGCGAGCUAGAGUAGGGCAGAGGGUGGUGGAAUUUCCUGUGUAGCGGUGAAAUGCGUAGAUAUAGUAAGGAACACCAGUGGCGAAGGCGACCACCUGGGCUCAUACUGACACUGAGGUGCGAAAGCGUGGGGAGCAAACAGG